This 527-nucleotide ribosomal RNA is filed under the name Azospira sp. enrichment culture. RNAcentral describes it as "bacterial SSU rRNA". It matches the Rfam family "Bacterial small subunit ribosomal RNA", at positions 355 to 873 of the family's 1533-position model. Lineage: Bacteria; Pseudomonadati; Pseudomonadota; Betaproteobacteria; Rhodocyclales; Rhodocyclaceae. The record is from RNAcentral.
UGGGGAAUUUUGGACAAUGGGGGCAACCCUGAUCCAGCCAUGCCGCGUGAGUGAAGAAGGCCUUCGGGUUGUAAAGCUCUUUCGGCGGGGAAGAAAUGGCAACGGCUAAUAUCCGUUGUUGAUGACGGUACCCGCAUAAGAAGCACCGGCUAACUACGUGCCAGCAGCCGCGGUAAUACGUAGGGUGCGAGCGUUAAUCGGAAUUACUGGGCGUAAAGCGUGCGCAGGCGGUUUCGUAAGACAGACGUGAAAUCCCCGGGCUCAACCUGGGAACUGCGUUUGUGACUGCGAGGCUAGAGUACGGCAGAGGGGGGUAGAAUUCCACGUGUAGCAGUGAAAUGCGUAGAGAUGUGGAGGAAUACCGAUGGCGAAGGCAGCCCCCUGGGUUAGUACUGACGCUCAUGCACGAAAGCGUGGGGAGCAAACAGGAUUAGAUACCCUGGUAGUCCACGCCCUAAACGAUGUCAACUAGGUGUUGGAAGGGUUAAACCUUUUAGUACCGCAGCUAACGCGUGAAGUUGACCGCC